This 465-nucleotide ribosomal RNA is filed under the name Vreelandella stevensii. RNAcentral describes it as "partial 16S ribosomal RNA". It matches the Rfam family "Bacterial small subunit ribosomal RNA", at positions 338 to 795 of the family's 1533-position model. Lineage: Bacteria; Pseudomonadati; Pseudomonadota; Gammaproteobacteria; Oceanospirillales; Halomonadaceae. The record is from RNAcentral.
CCUACGGGUGGCAGCAGUGGGGAAUAUUGGACAAUGGGGGGAACCCUGAUCCAGCCAUGCCGCGUGUGUGAAGAAGGCCCUCGGGUUGUAAAGCACUUUCAGUGAGGAAGAACGCCUGGUGGUUAAUACCCAUCAGGAAAGACAUCACUCACAGAAGAAGCACCGGCUAACUCCGUGCCGGCAGCCGCGGUAAUACGGAGGGUGCGAGCGUUAAUCGGAAUUACUGGGCGUAAAGCGCGCGUAGGUGGCUUGAUAAGCCGGUUGUGAAAGCCCCGGGCUCAACCUGGGAACGGCAUCCGGAACUGUCAAGCUAGAGUGCAGGAGAGGAAGGUAGAAUUCCCGGUGUAGCGGUGAAAUGCGUAGAGAUCGGGAGGAAUACCAGUGGCGAAGGCGGCCUUCUGGACUGACACUGACACUGAGGUGCGAAAGCGUGGGUAGCAAACAGGAUUAGAUACCCCGGUAGUC